Long non-coding RNA from Juglans regia (Persian walnut), 588 nucleotides. RefSeq lists it as uncharacterized. NCBI's taxonomy places the organism in Eukaryota, Viridiplantae, Streptophyta, Magnoliopsida, Fagales, Juglandaceae. The transcript is spliced from 2 exons. The record is from RefSeq and is a predicted model, not a curated record.
UUGGGUUUGAAAUUGGGUAAAGCUACUUUCGAAACGUUGCGUUUCACAUUUUCACUGAAAUUGUUCUCUCCCCCUACUCUCUCCAUCCCCUACCCUCCUCUGUGCGACUCCUAUUCCCAACCCUAACCCUAACCCUAACGCAACAGACUUGCUACGUUAUACUAGAGGAUUUUGCUCAAAGUUCGACGCCGUCCUAGUUGUAGAUAAAGAGAGUAUUUGUAAACAGAAGCUGAAUUGUUAAAGAAUGAGGAAGAGUUUUAAAAGAGAGAAAUAGAUUUGGAAGAGGGAGUUGGGAUUCCACAACAAUCAAGUGGAGCUUCGAAGGAAGAUGCAGACAUGCGGCGUUUCAUGUGUAUUGAUAUCAAAGUGAAACCCCAACUGAUUGGGAUACAUCGACCAACCAAUUGAUGACUUUGUUAUUAGGGACUUAGUGUUUGUAAUAGAGAUAAAUUAUUGAGAAAUCUAUUGCUAGUGACUUUGUUGUUGGAAGAAAUCUUCAAAUACAGUACUUUAGUGACUUUAUUUUUUUUAAAAAACUUUCAUGUUAAUUAAAUUGGAUUCAUUUCCACCAAAAUCAUGUCUAAGUAA